GACGAACGCUGGCGGCGUGCUUAACACAUGCAAGUCGAACGGAAAGGCCCUGCUUUUGUGGGGUGCUCGAGUGGCGAACGGGUGAGUAACACGUGAGUAACCUGCCCUUGACUUUGGGAUAACUUCAGGAAACUGGGGCUAAUACCGGAUAGGAGCUCCUGCUGCAUGGUGUGGGUUGGAAAGUUUCGGCGGUUGGGGAUGGACUCGCGGCUUAUCAGCUUGUUGGUGGGGUAGUGGCUUACCAAGGCUUUGACGGGUAGCCGGCCUGAGAGGGUGACCGGACACAUUGGGACUGCGAUCCGGCCCAGACUCCUACGGGAGGCAGCAGUGGGGAAUAUUGCACAAUGGGCGGAAGCCUGAUGCAGCAACGCCGCGUGCGGGAUGACGGCCUUCGGGUUGUAAACCGCUUUCGCCUGUGACGAAGCGUGAGUGACGGUAAUGGGUAAAGAAGCACCGGCUAACUACGUG
This 468-nucleotide ribosomal RNA is filed under the name uncultured bacterium. Its description in RNAcentral is "partial 16S ribosomal RNA". It matches the Rfam family "Bacterial small subunit ribosomal RNA", at positions 28 to 507 of the family's 1533-position model. The record is from RNAcentral.